RNAcentral lists this unclassified non-coding RNA (221 nucleotides) under uncultured Bacteroidota bacterium. Its description in RNAcentral is "uncultured Bacteroidetes bacterium contains 16S-23S intergenic spacer region". Lineage: Bacteria; Pseudomonadati; Bacteroidota. The record is from RNAcentral.
UCACUACUUGCGUAGGCAGUCUGGCUAGAGUCCCCACCAUCACGUGCUGGUAACUAACCACAGGGGUUGCGCUCGUUGCGCCACUUAAGGCAACACCUCACGGCACGAGCUGACGACAGCCAUGCAGCACCUUCCGGCCCGUCCCGAAGGAAAGCUCCCUUUCAGGAGCCGGCAGGCCGGAUUUAGCCCAGGUAAGGUGGGGAUGACGUAGACCUUGGACC